This 449-nucleotide ribosomal RNA is filed under the name uncultured bacterium. RNAcentral describes it as "bacterial SSU rRNA". It matches the Rfam family "Bacterial small subunit ribosomal RNA", at positions 355 to 796 of the family's 1533-position model. The record is from RNAcentral.
UGGGGAAUUUUGCGCAAUGGGCUAACGCCUGACGCAGCAACGCCGCGUGGAGGAUGAAGGUCCUUGGAUUGUAAACUCCUGUCAGCAGGGAAAAAGCGAAUCGGCCUAAUACGCCGGUGAGUUGAUUGUACCUGCAGAGGAAGCCCCGGCUAACUCUGUGCCAGCAGCCGCGGUAAUACAGAGGGGGCAAGCGUUAUUCGGAAUUAUUGGGCGUAAAGGGCGCGUAGGCGGCUUGGCAAGUGGAUGGUGAAAUCCCUCGGCUUAACCGAGGAACUGCCGUCCAAACUGCUUCGCUUGAGACCGGGAGAGGUGAGUGGAAUUCCCAGUGUAGCGGUGAAAUGCGUAGAUAUUGGGAGGAACACCAGUGGCGAAGGCGGCUCACUGGACCGGUACUGACGCUGAUGCGCGAAAGCGUGGGGAGCAAACGGGAUUAGAUACCCCCGUAGUCC